This 649-nucleotide ribosomal RNA is filed under the name uncultured bacterium. RNAcentral's name for it is "bacterial SSU rRNA". It matches the Rfam family "Bacterial small subunit ribosomal RNA", at positions 8 to 648 of the family's 1533-position model. The record is from RNAcentral.
AGAGUUUGAUCCUGGCUCAGAUUGAACGCUGGCGGCAUGCCUAACACAUGCAAGUCGAACGGAAACGAUGGGAGCUUGCUCCCAGGCGUCGAGUGGCGGACGGGUGAGUAAUACUUAGGAAUCUACCCAGUAGCGGGGGACAACUCGAGGAAACUCGAGCUAAUACCGCAUACGCCCUACGGGGGAAAGCAGGGGAUCUUCGGACCUUGCACUAUUGGAUGAGCCUAAGUCGGAUUAGCUUGUUGGUGAGGUAAAGGCUCACCAAGGCGACGAUCCGUAGCUGGUCUGAGAGGACGAUCAGCCACACUGGGACUGAGACACGGCCCAGACUCCUACGGGAGGCAGCAGUGGGGAAUAUUGGACAAUGGGGGCAACCCUGAUCCAGCAAUGCCGCGUGUGUGAAGAAGGCCUGCGGGUUGUAAAGCACUUUCAGUAGAGAAGAAAAGCCUACGGUUAAUACCCGUGAGUCUUGACGUUACCUACAGAAGAAGCUCCGGCUAACUCCGUGCCAGCAGCCGCGGUAAUACGGAGGGAGCGAGCGUUAAUCGGAAUUACUGGGCGUAAAGCGCGCGUAGGCGGCUUUGUAAGUCGGAUGUGAAAGCCCUGGGCUCAACCUGGGAAUGGCAUUCGAUACUGCAGAGCUAGAGUA